This 199-nucleotide ribosomal RNA is filed under the name Staphylococcus epidermidis. Its description in RNAcentral is "partial 23S ribosomal RNA". It matches the Rfam family "Bacterial large subunit ribosomal RNA", at positions 2732 to 2925 of the family's 2925-position model. The record is from RNAcentral. Lineage: Bacteria; Bacillati; Bacillota; Bacilli; Caryophanales; Staphylococcaceae.
ACGGCAUAGCUGGGUAGCUAUGUAUUGACUGGAUAAGUGCUGAAAGCAUCUAAGCAUGAAGCCCCCCUCAAGAUGAGAUUUCCCAACUUCGGUUAUAAGAUCCCUCGAAGAUGACGAGGUUAAUAGGUUCGAGGUGGAAGCGUGGUGACACGUGGAGCUGACGAAUACUAAUCGAUCGAAGACUUAAUCAAUUUUUAAA